AAGUGCUUCGGUCAGGCAGUAUCUUUGAAAAUAAUUUGGCCAAUGAAAGCCCUGGCAUUGGAUGAAAGUGCUAGCUGCUGGGAAUGCUACCCCUCCUUUUGGUUCUCUUUCAAGUCCUUCAGGUUCAAACAAUACAGAAGUGUAUAAAGUAAGAAUUGAAAGUCUCUUCGCUGCUCUAAUCUCACUCCUCAGAGGUGAUCACUGGACCUGAGUGAGCAGAAGGCUUUUCAGAAUUACAGCCUGAACUAUUUCUUGAGCAAUUUGGGAACUCAUUUCUAAAGCAGUCCUCAGAUUCACACAACGUAGUUUGUGACGGAGUAUGCCCAGAGCAGUGUGGAAGAUGAUCAAAGUAUGACAUUUCUUCUACCCCAGAGGCUGGCAUUUCUGCAGGCACAAAUGAGCUUGGUUUUCAAGCACUGCUCUUUGAACACAAGGAAUUCCUUUAAUGAUCACGCCGGACUAUAUAGACUUUGGAAUCAGACUCUUUGAAUUCCAGCUCUGCCAUUUACCAACUUUGACACUUUGGGGUUUUGGAAAUCUGGAUUGUAGCAGGGCAUUGUGGAUCUGCCUGUUGGUGGAGAACCCUAGACUGCAUGCAGCCAUGCACAUGAUCUGGAGACACAGCAGAGACAAGGUCUUUGUCUGUUGCUCAGGAUGGAGUGUAGUGGUGCCAUAGCACACUGUAAUCUUGAAUUUCUGGACUACUGGCAUACACCACCAUGCUUAGGUUCGGGCCACAACAUCCGUGACUUUACC
RNAcentral lists this long non-coding RNA (756 nucleotides) under Homo sapiens (human). RNAcentral's name for it is "non-protein coding lnc-NBPF11-1:33". The record is from RNAcentral. Lineage: Eukaryota; Metazoa; Chordata; Mammalia; Primates; Hominidae.